UUGGAGGGCAAGUCUGGUGCCAGCAGCCGCGGUAAUUCCAGCUCCAAUAGCGUAUAUUAAAGUUGUUGCAGUUAAAAAGCUCGUAGUUGAAUUUCGGGAUCAAUAUGUUGGUCGUGCCUUGGUACGUACUAAUUUAUUGGUUUCUUCCUUCUGACGAACCAUGAUGUCAUUAAUUUGGUAUCUUGGGGAAUCAGGACUGUUACUCUGAAAAAUUAGAGUGUUUAAAGCAGGCUCACGCUUGAAUACAUUAGCAUGGAAUAAUGAAAUAGGACGUUUGAUUCUAUUUUGUUGGUUUCUAGGAUCGACGUAAUGAUUAAUAGGGAUAGUUGGGGGCAUUAGUAUUCAAUUGUCAGAGGUGAAAUUCUUGGAUUUAUUGAAGACUAACUACUGCGAAAGCAUUUGCCAAGGAUGUUUUCAUUAAUCAAGAACGAAAGUUAGGGGAUCGAAGACGAUCAGAUACCGUCGUAGUCUUAACCNUAAACUAUGCCGACUAGGGAUCGGAUGAUGUUAAUUUUUUAAUGACUCAUUCGGC
RNAcentral lists this ribosomal RNA (532 nucleotides) under uncultured Glomeromycotina. RNAcentral describes it as "SSU rRNA". It matches the Rfam family "Eukaryotic small subunit ribosomal RNA", at positions 548 to 1084 of the family's 1831-position model. Lineage: Eukaryota; Fungi; Glomeromycota. The record is from RNAcentral.